Molecule: ribosomal RNA, 619 nt
Filed under: uncultured bacterium
Lineage: Bacteria
Description: bacterial SSU rRNA
Rfam family: Bacterial small subunit ribosomal RNA
Source: RNAcentral
CCUACGGGAGGCAGCAGUGGGGAAUUUUGGACAAUGGGCGAAAGCCUGAUCCAGCAAUGCCGCGUGUGGGAAGAAGGCCUUCGGGUUGUAAACCACUUUUGUACGGAACGAAACGGCUCGCUUUAAUACAGUGGGCUAAUGACGGUACCGUAAGAAUAAGCACCGGCUAACUACGUGCCAGCAGCCGCGGUAAUACGUAGGGUGCGAGCGUUAAUCGGAAUUACUGGGCGUAAAGCGUGCGCAGGCGGUUAUAUAAGACAGUUGUGAAAUCCCCGGGCUCAACCUGGGAAUUGCAUCUGUGACUGUAUAGCUAGAGUACGGUAGAGGGGGAUGGAACUCCGCGUGUAGCAGUGAAAUGCGUAGAUAUGCGGAGGAACACCGAUGGCGAAGGCAAUCCCCUGGACCUGUACUGACGCUCAUGCACGAAAGCGUGGGGAGCAAACAGGAUUAGAUACCCUGGUAGUCCACGCCCUAAACGAUGUCAACUGGUUGUUGGGUGCAUUAGUACUCAGUAACGAAGCUAACGCGUGAAGUUGACCGCCUGGGGAGUACGGCCGCAAGGUUGAAACGUCAAAGAGAGUGCGNGNGAGAGCGACGACGACGACGACGGAGGAGGAGG